This 216-nucleotide ribosomal RNA is filed under the name uncultured bacterium. RNAcentral describes it as "partial 16S ribosomal RNA". It matches the Rfam family "Bacterial small subunit ribosomal RNA", at positions 1285 to 1500 of the family's 1533-position model. The record is from RNAcentral.
UACUCAGUUCGGAUCGCAGGCUGCAACCCGCCUGCGUGAAGUUGGAAUUGCUAGUAAUGGCAGGUCAGCAUACUGCCGUGAAUACGUUCCCGGGCCUUGUACACACCGCCCGUCACACCAUGAGAGUUGGGGAUACCCGAAGCCUGUGAGCUAACAGUAAUGAAGCAGCAGUCGAAGGUAGAAUCAAUGAUUGGGGUGAAGUCGUAACAAGGUACC